CCUACGGGUGGCAGCAGUGAGGAAUAUUGGUCAAUGGGCGGAAGCCUGAACCAGCCAAGUAGCGUGCAGGAUGACGGCCCUACGGGUUGUCAACUGCUUUUAUACGGGAAUAACGCGCCUUACGUGUAGGGCUUUGCAUGUACCAUAUGAAUAAGGACCGGCUAAUUCCGUGCCAGCAGCCGCGGUAAUAAGGAAGGUCCGGGCGUUAUCCGGAUUUAUUGGGUUUAAAGGGAGCGUAGGCCGCAUGUCAAGCGUGCUGUGAAAUGUCCGGGCUCAACCCGGGCCUUGAAGCGCGAACUGGCGUGCUUGAGUCCGCGGACAGCAGGCGGAAUUCGUCGUGUAGCGGUGAAAUGGUUAGAUAUGACGAAGAACCCCGAUUGCGAAGGCGGCCUGCUGGACUGAAACUGACGUUGAGGCUCGAAAGCGUGGGGAGCAAACAGGAUUAGAUACCCUAGUAGUC
RNAcentral lists this ribosomal RNA (460 nucleotides) under uncultured bacterium. Its description in RNAcentral is "partial 16S ribosomal RNA". It matches the Rfam family "Bacterial small subunit ribosomal RNA", at positions 338 to 795 of the family's 1533-position model. The record is from RNAcentral.